RNAcentral lists this transfer RNA (65 nucleotides) under Dipodomys ordii (Ord's kangaroo rat). It matches the Rfam family "tRNA". Rfam says of the family: Transfer RNA (tRNA) molecules are approximately 80 nucleotides in length. The record is from Rfam by way of RNAcentral. Lineage: Eukaryota; Metazoa; Chordata; Mammalia; Rodentia; Heteromyidae.
GGUGGCUCAGUGGUAGAGCGAUUGCCUUGCAUGCAUGGAGCCCUGGGUUCGAUUCCUCAGCACCA